AACGCAUAUUGCACUCCUCGGUAUUCCUUGGAGAAUAUCUGUUUCAGUAUCAUAAAGUAAUAUCAAGCUUUUAGGCUUUGUCUUAAUGCUUGGAGGUGGGCUUCGUAGCUUGAUUUUUUCUUUCUACUGGCCUGAAAUUCAUUCGUGGCCGCAUCUUUUUAAAGAUAAAGGCGUCAUAGUUGACUUUUGGUCAUCUUUCGCUGAUUAUUUUUGAAAGUGCAUUAGACUACGUUAAUUUUUUCAUCUACUUGAUCUGAAAUCAGAUAAGACUACCCGCUGAACUUAA
RNAcentral lists this unclassified non-coding RNA (286 nucleotides) under uncultured fungus. RNAcentral's name for it is "partial contains internal transcribed spacer 2 and large subunit ribosomal RNA". The record is from RNAcentral. Lineage: Eukaryota; Fungi.